UAUAUGCAUUCACUGUAAGUCGCUCUGGAUAAGAGCGUCUGCUAAAUGACUCAAA
Non-coding RNA from Salmo salar (Atlantic salmon), 55 nucleotides. The record is from Rfam. Lineage: Eukaryota; Metazoa; Chordata; Actinopteri; Salmoniformes; Salmonidae.